RNAcentral lists this ribosomal RNA (253 nucleotides) under uncultured bacterium. Its description in RNAcentral is "partial 16S ribosomal RNA". It matches the Rfam family "Bacterial small subunit ribosomal RNA", at positions 524 to 776 of the family's 1533-position model. The record is from RNAcentral.
CACGUAGGGCGCAAGCGUUGUCCGGAAUUAUUGGGCGUAAAGGGCGCGUAGGUGGUUCUGUAUGUCUACCGUGAAAGCGUACGGCUCAACCGUAUUUUGUCGGUGGAAACUGCAGGACUCGAGGCUGGGAGGGGCUGGUGGAAUUCCCUGUGUAGCGGUGAAAUGCGUAGAGAUGGGGGAGAACACUCGUGGCGAAGGCGGCCAGCUAGACCAGUUCUGACACUGAGGCGCGACAGCGUGGGGAGCAAACAGG